Molecule: ribosomal RNA, 468 nt
Filed under: uncultured bacterium
Lineage: Bacteria
Description: partial 16S ribosomal RNA
Rfam family: Bacterial small subunit ribosomal RNA
Source: RNAcentral
GACGAACGCUGGCGGCGUGCUUAACACAUGCAAGUCGAACGGAAAGGCCCUGCUUUUGUGGGGUGCUCGAGUGGCGAACGGGUGAGUAACACGUGAGUAACCUGCCCUUGACUUUGGGAUAACUUCAGGAAACUGGGGCUAAUACCGGAUAGGAGCUCCUGCUGCAUGGUGGGGGUUGGACAGUUUCGGCGGUUGGGGAUGGACUCGCGGCUUAUCAGCUUGUUGGUGGGGUAGUGGCUUACCAAGGCUUUGACGGGUAGCCGGCCUGAGAGGGUGACCGGCCACAGUGGGACUGAGGUACGGCCCAGACUCCUACGGGAGGCAGCAGUGGGGAAUAUUGCACAAUGGGCGGAAGCCUGAUGCAGCAACGCCGCGUGCGGGAUGACGGCCUUCGGGUUGUAAACCGCUUUCGCCUGUGACGAAGCGUGAGUGACGGUAAUGGGUAAAGAAGCACCGGCUAACUACGUG